AGCUUGCUCCUCUGACGUUAGCGGCGGACGGGUGAGUAACACGUGGAUAACCUACCUAUAAGACUGGGAUAACUUCGGGAAACCGGAGCUAAUACCGGAUAAUAUAUUGAACCGCAUGGUUCAAUAGUGAAAGACGGUUUUGCUGUCACUUAUAGAUGGAUCCGCGCCGCAUUAGCUAGUUGGUAAGGUAACGGCUUACCAAGGCAACGAUGCGUAGCCGACCUGAGAGGGUGAUCGGCCACACUGGAACUGAGACACGGUCCAGACUCCUACGGGAGGCAGCAGUAGGGAAUCUUCCGCAAUGGGCGAAAGCCUGACGGAGCAACGCCGCGUGAGUGAUGAAGGUCUUCGGAUCGUAAAACUCUGUUAUUAGGGAAGAACAAAUGUGUAAGUAACUAUGCACGUCUUGACGGUACCUAAUCAGAAAGCCACGGCUAACUACGUGCCAGCAGCCGCGGUAAUACGUAGGUGGCAAGCGUUAUCCGGAAUUAUUGGGCGUAAAGCGCGCGUAGGCGGUUUUUUAAGUCUGAUGUGAAAGCCCACGGCUCAACCGUGGAGGGUCAUUGGAAACUGGAAAACUUGAGUGCAGAAGAGGAAAGUGGAAUUCCUGGG
RNAcentral lists this ribosomal RNA (612 nucleotides) under bacterium. RNAcentral's name for it is "bacterial SSU rRNA". It matches the Rfam family "Bacterial small subunit ribosomal RNA", at positions 77 to 674 of the family's 1533-position model. The record is from RNAcentral.